UGGGCCAAGACGAGAGGUCCUCAUCUAGGUUUUGUUUUGGGCCAAACGAAGCGCAUCCUCCAACUUCCCCUCGCCGCCGCCUCAACUCCUGCCGCCGGCCGCCGCUCGCCGCCCACCCAUCUCCCUCGAUGCCGGACAUCCCCACCCACCAAAUUCCCUCCGCCCCGCUGUCCAACCCUUGCUCAUCGCCUCCUGGACACGCCGUCGCCGUCGAGUAGCACCGCCCGAGGCUCAAGCCGUCGCCGUCGAGGAGCACCGCCCGAGGCUCAAGCCGGCGCUGGACCUCCUCCAUGGCGUCCGCGUCUACCUCUCCCUCCUCGGUCAAGUCCCGAUCUCCGUUUCCUGACCUUGAUUUUAUUCCUAUUGCUCAUGCUCUGUCCCGUGCAGAAAUUUUGGAGGGGGUCAUGGCCGGCCUCCCCCAUCUGCUGCUCUGCUGGUGACUGUGUGCUCGCCAGCACGGCCAAGGAGACGCCGACGACCACGCACCAUGAGUCGGCGACCUGGACAUGAUCGUCCAGGAGAACCCGACCACGGCGACGCCCACAGAAUAAGGGGAGAAGUGGAGCUGGAGCUUGUCAGGAGGUAGCGAUGGCUGCCAGAUCCGGCUGGAAGGAUGCGGUGGCCUUCUUUUUCGACUCCGUGGGUUUAGGAAAAUGAGGACUAAAUGAGAGACAUGUGUCGCAGCUGGAACCUGUGGCUGCAGGCCAUCACUUGGAAGGAAGCUGGAAGACCCUGGGGACAAGCUUGGCCGGCUUCCUUUCUAGCGCCUUAAUGAACUGGUUAUGAUGCAUGUUAUGUUGUAUGUAACUUGCAUGCUGCUGUGCAUCAACUUUGCCCGGUAUUGUCCGGUGAUGCGGACAUUUUCGUUGAUUAUAUGUUUGUGUCACAUGGGCUGUGUCGUAUGCACCAUUGUCUUAAUUGACGUAUGAUAUUUGCUGUGUAGGUUUGGAUGUCCAAAAAACAGGCAAGGGAUAAAUUGAGCUGGCCCAGAAGGUAGCCAUGGCUGCCGGAUCUGGCCGGCAGGCAGCGGUUCCUUCUUCUUCGAAUCCGUGGGUUUAGCAUGUAAAGAAAGAAGAGCAAGAAGGCUAGAAAGAAGGACCUGCCCAGAUCCUUUCACUUUCUGCAUGUAAUCUUCUUGGUGCUGUAGUUGGGAAGCGCGAACCAGGUGUCCCGUCGUGUGUAGUGCCGCUCUUCGGUCCUUGUAAUAUUCGGUUGUACUCGAUGUUGUAAAAUCCAUUUUUGUAAUGCUCCAGGCUUUGGAAGUUGUAACAAUUUGGGUAGUACUCCAUGUGCACGUGUGUGAUGUUUGUUCCUGGUUCGCGUUUCUUUGGGUUAGACUUGUCAGGAAGGUUGGAUCGUGUGGCUGUACGAACAUUUAUUCUACUACUACUAUAUUGUUUGAUUUGUGGUCUGAAUGUUGCAAAACGAGGAAAUGUCAUGGCAAAA
This is a non-coding RNA of Lolium perenne, 1446 nucleotides long. The record is from RefSeq and is a predicted model, not a curated record. NCBI's taxonomy places the organism in Eukaryota, Viridiplantae, Streptophyta, Magnoliopsida, Poales, Poaceae.